AGGCAACGAUCAGUAGGGGUUCUGAGAGGAAGGUCCCCCACAUUGGAACUGAGACACGGUCCAAACUCCUACGGGAGGCAGCAGUGAGGAAUAUUGGUCAAUGGACGAGAGUCUGAACCAGCCAAGUAGCGUGCAGGAAGACGGCCCUAUGGGUUGUAAACUGCUUUUAUAAGGGAAUAAAGUGAGAGUCGUGACUCUUUUUGCAUGUACCUUAUGAAUAAGGACCGGCUAAUUCCGUGCCAGCAGCCGCGGUAAUACGGAAGGUCCGGGCGUUAUCCGGAUUUAUUGGGUUUAAAGGGAGCGUAGGCCGGAGAUUAAGCGUGUCGUGAAAUGUAGACGCUCAACGUCUGCACUGCAGCGCGAACUGGUUUCCUUGAGUACGCACAAAGUGGGCGGAAUUCGUGGUGUAGCGGUGAAAUGCUUAGAUAUCACGAAGAACUCCGAUUGCGAAGGCAGCUCACUGGAGCGCAACUGACGCUGAAGCUCGAAAGUGCGGGUAUCGAACAGGAUUAGAUACCCUGGUAGUCCGCACGGUAAACGAUGGAUGCCCGCUGUUGGUCUGAAUAGGUCAGCGGCCAAGCGAAAGCAUUAAGCAUCCCACCUGGGGAGUACGCCGGCAACGGUGAAACUCAAAGGAAUUGACGGGGGCCCGCACAAGCGGAGGAACAUGUGGUUUAAUUCGAUAAUACGCGAGGAACCUUACCCGGGCUUGAAUUGCAGAGGAAGGAUUUGGAGACAAUGACGCCCUUCGGGGCCUCUGUGAAGGUGCUGCAUGGUUGUCGUCAGCUCGUGCCGUGAGGUGUCGGCUUAAGUGCCAUAACGAGCGCAACCCCUCUCCUUAGUUGCCAUCAGGUUAAGCUGGGCACUCUGGGGACACUGCCACCGUAAGGUGUGAGGAAGGUGGGGAUGACGUCAAAUCAGCACGGCCCUUACGUCCGGGGCUACACACGUGUUACAAUGGCAGGUACAGAGAGACGGUUGUACGUAAGUACGAUCAAAUCCUUAAAGCCUGUCUCAGUUCGGACUGGGGUCUGCAACCCGACCCCACGAAGCUGGAUUCGCUAGUAAUCGCGCAUCAGCCAUGGCGCGGUGAAUACGUUCCCGGGCCUUGUACACACCGCCCGUCAAGCCAUGAAAGCCGGGGGCGCCUAAAGUCCGUGACCGUAAGGAGCGGCCUGGGGCGAAACUGGUAAUUGGGGCUAAGUCGUAACAAGGUA
RNAcentral lists this ribosomal RNA (1217 nucleotides) under metagenome. RNAcentral describes it as "bacterial SSU rRNA". It matches the Rfam family "Bacterial small subunit ribosomal RNA", at positions 271 to 1498 of the family's 1533-position model. The record is from RNAcentral.